RNAcentral lists this ribosomal RNA (497 nucleotides) under uncultured bacterium. RNAcentral describes it as "partial 16S ribosomal RNA". It matches the Rfam family "Bacterial small subunit ribosomal RNA", at positions 28 to 507 of the family's 1533-position model. The record is from RNAcentral.
GACGAACGCUGGCGGCGUGCCUAAUACAUGCAAGUUGAGCGCUGAAGGUUGGUACUUGUACCAACUGGAUGAGCAGCGAACGGGUGAGUAACGCGUGGGGAAUCUGCCUUUGAGCGGGGGACAACAUUUGGAAACGAAUGCUAAUACCGCAUAAAAACUUUAAACACAAGUUUUAAGUUUGAAAGAUGCAAUUGCAUCACUCAAAGAUGAUCCCGCGUUGUAUUAGCUAGUUGGUGAGGUAAAGGCUCACCAAGGCGAUGAUACAUAGCCGACCUGAGAGGGUGAUCGGCCAAAUUGGGACUGAGACACGGCCCAAACUCCUACGGGAGGCAGCAGUAGGGAAUCUUCGGCAAUGGACGAAAGUCUGACCGAGCAACGCCGCGUGAGUGAAGAAGGUUUUCGGAUCGUAAAACUCUGUUGGUGGAGAAGAACGUUGGUGAGAGUGGAAAGCUCAUCAAGUGACGGUAACUACCCAGAAAGGGACGGCUAACUACGUG